CGCAGUUCAGCGAAGAGUGUAAACGUGUACGUCCAUAUAUCUGAACCGAAUAAAAACUGGGUGUGAAUACAUUAUGGUCACAAUGGAGCGCAGGAAUCGGAGAUGGGCUGAACCAACGAUUAUAUUCUAAUCCAUAUUGCCAGGAGCUUGGCAACGGACGCUAAUGAAGUUAAGAAAUUGAAUAGUUGACCCGCAAUCAAUACAGUUCUCGAUAAGUUCUUAGAGAAACACAUAACAAGACCGUUCGCUUGUCACAGCGCUGAUAGCUAUCUUCGCAGAGGUUCUCAUGUACGGUUGGUACUCUUCAUACCUAGCCCAACUCACAGCGGAUGGAUUAUCACUUCCCAUCACGACAUACAGCCGAGGUCUUCUCGGUUCCCUCUUUGCUUAGCCUUGGAAGACUGGAGGAAUUGUGGGUUCUACAGCGGGGCCGAGGAACCACGACGUUCUAGGCUUAACUUCCAAUCCGAGUGAACCACGAUCAGUCGGUCCGGAUCACCCCGAGGAAGGCGGCAAGAAGAACUUGCGGAUGAUGAAACUUCUUCCCGUUUCCUCAUCCCUCGUGCCAGAGCCCAAAGUCAGCAAACUGCUCCCUCUCCGGGUCAAGUUGCACUUAAAUGAGCUUUGCUCGCUACAUCUGAAAUUGAAUGCAACCCAUUCGCUUCAAGUCAUAGCAAAUCAUAACGUAGGAGAAAAUUUGUUAAAGCUUUUGAAUAACUAGUCCAUCUUGCGUUUUGGAACUCAUAGAAAGAUAUCAUCAUUCCACGGAUAUUUUGUAAAAAAAAUUAUUCAAAAUCCAGUUUACUUAUUUUUCUAUUCCAAAUGAAUAAAAAAGCCAAGUUACUAGUUAA
Molecule: unclassified non-coding RNA, 851 nt
Filed under: Neodiprion pinetum (white pine sawfly)
Lineage: Eukaryota; Metazoa; Arthropoda; Insecta; Hymenoptera; Diprionidae
Description: uncharacterized LOC124214255, transcript variant X1
Source: RNAcentral